GCAAGUCGAGGGGCAGCAUGGUAGGUAGCAAUACUUAUUGAUGGCGACCGGCGCACGGGUGAGUAACGCGUAUGCAACUUACCUAUCAGAGGAGGAUAGCCCGGCGAAAGUCGGAUUAAUACUCCAUAAAACAGGGAUCCCGCAUGGGAAUAUUUGUUAAAGAUUCAUCGCUGAUAGAUAGGCAUGCGUUCCAUUAGGUUGUUGGCGGGGUAACGGCCCACCAAGCCUUCGAUGGAUAGGGGUUCUGAGAGGAAGGUC
Molecule: ribosomal RNA, 258 nt
Filed under: uncultured bacterium
Lineage: Bacteria
Description: partial 16S ribosomal RNA
Rfam family: Bacterial small subunit ribosomal RNA
Source: RNAcentral